GAUGAACGCUGGCGGCGUGCCUAAUACAUGCAAGUCGAGCGAACAGACGAGGAGUUUGCUCCUCUGACGUUUGCCGCGGACGGGUGAGUAACACGUGGAUAACCCACCUAUAAGACUGGGAUAACUUCGGGACACCGGAGCUAAUACCGGAUAAUAUAUUGAACCGCAUGGUUCAAUAGUGAAAGACGGUUUUGCUGUCACUUAUAGAUGGAUCCGCGCCGCAUUAGCUAGUUGGUAAGGUAACGGCUUACCAAGGCAACGAUGCGUAGCCGACCUGAGAGGGUGAUCGGCCACACUGGAACUGAGACACGGUCCAGACUCCUACGGGAGGCAGCAGUAGGGAAUCUUCCGCAAUGGGCGAAAGCCUGACGGAGCAACGCCGCGUGAGUGAUGAAGGUCUUCGGAUCGUAAAGCUCUGUUAUUAGGGAAGAACAAAUGUGUAAGUAACUGUGCACGUCUUGACGGUACCGGAUCAGAAAGCCACGGCUAACUACGUG
This 497-nucleotide ribosomal RNA is filed under the name uncultured bacterium. RNAcentral describes it as "partial 16S ribosomal RNA". It matches the Rfam family "Bacterial small subunit ribosomal RNA", at positions 28 to 507 of the family's 1533-position model. The record is from RNAcentral.